GGCAGAGGGGUGCUGCCAGGCUUGGAGCUGGGACGUAGCCCCUGGGCCGUCCUUUGUGAGUGCUCACAGGCACAGGCAUCGCUCCGAGAGAGGCCAGGCCCAGGGGAAGGCAGUCACCUGUCACUGUCCCCGUUGGUGGACCCUUGUGGGGGAGGGAGGCAGGCAAUUGGUCGCAAUGUCCAGCGAGACGUGUCCGUCCGUGCAGGGGACUCAGUGUGGCCACUGUGUGGUUGGUGGGUGGGAGCAUUGGGCUUUGCCAGCCCUGGACAGUCUGCAGGGGCCCCUCCCAGAUGGGCUCGGGAAGGAGUCCCCCUCCUCUGAGAGAGGACCGAGCCUGGUUUUACAUCUUCCUUUGGCUUUAAUCCACCUGUCACUUCCGGUCAGCGUCUUUCCCCAAGAAGGAGGCUCCCCUGUGAUCUGGCUUCCUUCCCACCUUCCUUCUCACACACGUGUCACAGUAGAGCCGCUGAAACUUUAGAGGGAGGGUUUGAAGAGUCAAGGACAGUUGCAAACUUCUUUAUUUUGCUCCAGAAGAAAAUGAGUGAGUUUUAGUUUCGCCUUUUUUUUUUUUUUUUAACUCCUGACAAGAACGAAUCUACUGAGCCAACAAGACUUGAAAGCCCUAACACUCUAGUUAAAAACAACUAACAGGGGACUUCCCUGGUGGUGCAGUGGUUAAGAAUCCGCCUGCCGAUGCAGGGGACACGGGUUCGAGCCCUGGUGCGGGAAGAUCCCACAUGCCGCGGAGCAACUAAGCCCCUGCGCCGCAACUACUGAGCCUGCGCUCUAGAGCCCGCGAGCCACAACGACUGAGCCCACGAGGCACAAGUACGGAAGCCCGCAUGCCUAGAGCCCGUGCUCCACAACAAGAGAAGCCACCGCAAUGAGAAGCCCGCGCACCGCAACAAAGAGUAGCCCCCGCGCACCGCAACUAGAGAAAGCCUGCGUGCAGCAACGAAGACCCAACGCAGCCAAAAAUAAAUAAAUAAAUUUAUUUAAAAGAAAACAAAAGCAACUAACAGACAAGACACCAGCGUGAGAGAGGGUGUGUGUGAUGAAAUGCUGGGGUUUGCAGCACGAGCUCCUUAACCCUCUCCGGGCCUCAGUCUCCUGGUCUGUCAUCGGCGGGUGGGACCAGGUGACCACCCAACCUACUUCCCUAGCAGCAGCCCUGGUCCCCAGGGUCCUGGAGGUCUGGGGACGGAGCCCUGGGGUUCUGGGUUAGCAGGAAGUGCCGGCUUUGCCAGGACCGCCACCUUCACGUUUGGUGGGCUGUCAGUGGGAGGAAGCCCAGUCCUCAGAACCCCUUGAAUUACGGAGCGGUUUGAACGUAUACAAGGUAAUCCUGUUUCCACUUCCCAACCUGAUCCUUCCACCUUUGUGAGAUCCGGACGGGUGAACUGGUUCCUGUUGUUCCGAUUUUAUUCGCAGGGGAGUCAGGCUAUGGAGAAGUGCAGGGGCUUGCCCGGGAGGUACCUCACAGGUAGACUGGGCAGAACUGGGUCCAGAGCCCAGUCAGCUCUGCGUGGGGUGUCGGGGGACACGAGGAGAAGGAGGAAGAGUCAGGACCUUGUCUCCUGCCCGGUGGGCGAGCGACAAGCGCUCCAGAGCCGGGAGGGAGGAGGGGCCCUGAAGGAGGCCGCCAAAACAAAGCCCUGGGCAGGUCGUCCAGGGCCUCUUCUGGUUGCAACUGCCUUUUGUCACCAGACUCCGCUGACAAAGGCAGCAGCCUUUCCCGUAGGUGGAUGAGGACCUCACCCCGCCCUAGGGUGGGGCUCAGCCUCCCCCGCCCAGGGCCCCGCCCUGGCAUGCCGCCACCAAAGACUUCCAGCCGCAGGAGAGCAAACUUAGCUGAAAAGGAAAAUCCAGUGGGGCAGAGGUGGGCGGAGGAGGUGGAGACGCAGCUGAGGAGGGGUGCAGCUUUGGGGGCUCUAGCAGGGGGCACCCCCCACACACACCUGCACAAGGGCGUGGCCCGGAGUGGGGGUGAAGACAGCCUCCUGGGUUUGUUCCGAAGCUCUGAGCUAGGCUGGGGAGAAGGGCGAGUGUGACUCCAGCGGGGCUGAAACGACACUAAAAGUCAGAAGCCUUACAGCGCUGGCUCUAGUUGGGGAAACGGAGAGGCUCAGAGAGGUGAGGUGACUGCCCAAGGCUGCACAGCCACUCAGGGUAGAACCAGGACUAGAACCCGACCUCUGGGGCCCCUGCCCUGUGCUCCUGGUCACACUGUCACAGGAGGGGACCCUGGCCACUGCAGGCAACAGAGUUUCAUCUGAUCUCUGCUGUCAGAGGUUUUACAAAAUCAUCACACCAACUAUUAUUUACUCAUUUUUACUAAACUUCCUUUUAAAUUUCAGUGCAUUCAUUUUGAAAAGAAACUUUGUAUCAGUAACUUGAGAGAAAAAAAAGUAUCCUUUGCCAUAAAAGAAGGCUUACCAUAAUUUAGAAUCAAUAACAAUAAAUAGAAUGGAAACAAAUCAUUGUUUAAUUCCAAGUGGGUAAAAAGGCUUUUUAUCUUUCUGCUCAGAAGGGAGGUUGGCAAAUGUUAAAGACACAUCCAGGUGGCUCCCCCUCCCCUCACCGGUGACUGCCCUGCGCCCAGCUGAAGGCCUUUGUGAAUGGAGCAUGUAGAUCUUUUCUUUUCUUUUUCUUUUUUUAAUAUUUAUUUAUUUAGGCCGCGCCGGGUCUUAGUGGUGGCAUGCGGGCUCUUCGUUGUGGCAUGUUUUUUGGUUUUUUCUUUUUAGUUGUGGCAUGCAAACUCUUAGGUGCGGCAUGCAUGCGGGAUCUAGUUCCCAACCAGGGAUGGGACCCGGGCCCCCUGCAUUGGGAGCGCAGUCUUACUCACUGGACCACCAGGGAAAUCCCUUGAAUGGAGCAUUUAAAGAUGAGGUUUCCGGCCAAGGUCUGUGGCCCUCUGUACUAACCCAGGGCCUGCCGGGCACCAAGCCCUGCAGGAUCAAUUGCUCCUGGGGAGGGUCGGUAGGAGACCCCAGGCUCUCCCGAUCUCCCCGCAGCCCUAAGCAGCUCUGGGAGGCCCACAGAGCUGGGGGGUGGGGGAGGCGUGGAGGGAGCUGGGGGGCUCGGGGCAGGCCCUCCUCCUCCCUCUGACUGCCCCCGAGGCUGGGAGGGAGGUGGCUCAGCUUCUAGAGCCCGAGAAGCUCAGGACGACUCGUCUCAGUGCAGAGACUCCGGGCUCGGCCUCAGUCGGCAGUCUUGACGUGAUGUCCUGAUUUCUCAGGGCAGCUUGUGUGCACCAGGAACGAGCAUGGGUGCAGGGCAUGGGGGCCCGCGCUCGCUCCUCCGUGCCUUCCCUCUCGAGACCCCCCCGGCCAGCCCUGCUGUGAUCACAGGCCGCCUCGCCCGUAGGCGUCUCUCGGGACAGAGGGCCUUCCAGCCGGGCUCUGUGGGCAGUAGAGCCUUAUCACGUGUCACACGGCCGGUCAGCUGCACUCUUCUUAAACAUUUCCCACCAUCGGCCAAAGAGGAAGAGCCGGCAUCUCUUAUGUCUGGGGCUCUGGGGAGGGGUUUCUAGGUGAGGGGCCAGCGAGUAGCCCGAGGUGGUAGUGGAGCCUGUCCUGCAGAAGCUCUGGGCCAUUUAGACUUCACUCAUGUCACCAGAGUCUGGUGGCCACGUGGCUGGAGGACGCACACCGGGAAGGUCAGAGCCCUGGGUCCUGGUUCAGGGUCUACCCCGUCUUAGCCUCAAGUUCUCCGAGCGUAAGAGGUGCUCUCAGAGAGAAUACAGAUGCUGCUGCCUGUCCCGGCGCCUCCUCGGCCAGGCGGGGGACGGAGGCCGUGAGGUCCCAGCAAGAGGUUGAAUGGGAGGGCUGUUUACAAACUGUGAAGUACCAGGCCUGCUAUGGGGUCCUUGGGAUAAGCUCAAGGCGCUUCCAAAGACCUACCCGCCUGAGUCCACCCCCAGCCAAGUGCUGUGUGUCCCACACAGGCAGGUGCGCACGUGGAGUGUGUGUGUGCACACGCACGCAGGCUCGUCCUCCAGUCGGGGCUGUGUCACCAAGCCCUGGAGGGUCCAGCCAGUCGUCCCUUCCUUCCUGUGAAAUGUUUGGCUGUCUCCUCAGUGGGAGUGGGUUUUUCACCAAGGAGCUCUUUGUUGGCCAAGGAAGAAUCUGCUCCUCACGAUGUUGCCGUCUUGCAGCGUCUGGCCCUCCUCUUAUGGCUGGCACGUGCCUCCUGGCUCAGGGCUCGGGCGGCAGUUCAGGGGCACCCCCAGUCUCCCUGCACAAGGUGGGGUGCCUGGCCCUGUGGGAUCUCCCUGACGCUCAGGAAGCUGGCACUCCCUCGAGGUUCCAGGAGCUCUUUCACGUGGGAACCUUGGAGGGGCCCUCACUUUGCCCUCCCCAGGAUGAACCAUCACGGGGAAGAAGGGGUCGACCUCUGGGUUCCAAAGUGACCACAGAACACAGGGCUCCUGGGGGGCAGAAGGACCGUGCCUCAGACACUCCUGAGCCCAUGAGAGAGGUGGCCGAGGUGCAGGGAUCCUUUGCCUCUUGGGACUGUUGAGAGCUGCCUCUGGAAGGCAGACACCUGCCAGGGGGUGCGUCCCAAAGUGAAGCCCAAGGUUUCCACGAAGAAAACCUGAGGUCCUUGUCCCACAGACCCAUCCUGGUGGGUCAGGAGCUGAGAAAAGCCCACGUCUCAGGUGUGCAGGGGGAGAGGUCCAAGAACAGAGUUUCAGGAAAUAGUUUCUCCCACAGAUUAGUGAUGAAACAGGGAGCAGGACGUGAAGGCAGAGCUGGAGCUGGGAGCUGGGUGCUAGAGCUGUGCUGGGUGCUGGAGCUGGGUGCCGGAGCUGGCAGCUGGGUGCUGGAGCUGGGAGCUGGGUGCUGGAGGUGGGUCCUGGAGCUGGGAGCUGGGUGCUGGAGCUGGGUGCUGGGGCUGGGAGCUGGGUGCUGGAGCUGGGUGCUGGAGCUGGGAGCUGGGUGCUAGAGCUGUGCUGGGUGCUGGAUAGGAUGCUGGAGCUGGGAGCUGGGUGCUGGAGCUGGGUGCUGGGGCUGGGAGCUGGG
Molecule: long non-coding RNA, 5024 nt
Organism: Orcinus orca (killer whale)
Lineage: Eukaryota; Metazoa; Chordata; Mammalia; Artiodactyla; Delphinidae
Exons: 3
Source: RefSeq, a predicted model, not a curated record